AUCCGGCUGACGAUUCUCAAAUAUGAUGAAACGUGCGUCGCGGAU
This 45-nucleotide non-coding RNA is filed under the name Schistosoma curassoni. Lineage: Eukaryota; Metazoa; Platyhelminthes; Trematoda; Strigeidida; Schistosomatidae. The record is from RNAcentral.